CGGACGGGUGAGUAACGCGUGGGUAACCUGCCUUAUACAGGGGGAUAACAGUCAGAAAUGACUGCUAAUACCGCAUAAGCGCACAGGACCGCAUGGUCCGGUGUGAAAAACUCCGGUGGUAUAAGAUGGACCCGCGUUGGAUUAGCUGGUUGGUGAGGUAACGGCUCACCAAGGCGACGAUCCAUAGCCGGCCUGAGAGGGUGAACGGCCACAUUGGGACUGAGACACGGCCCAG
RNAcentral lists this ribosomal RNA (235 nucleotides) under uncultured bacterium. RNAcentral describes it as "partial 16S ribosomal RNA". It matches the Rfam family "Bacterial small subunit ribosomal RNA", at positions 99 to 334 of the family's 1533-position model. The record is from RNAcentral.